UACGAAGGGGGCAAGCGUUGUUCGGAAUUACUGGGCGUAAAGGGCGCGCAGGCGGCCGAUCAAGUCAGACGUGAAAUCCCUCGGCUUAACCGGGGAACUGCGUCUGAUACUGGAUGGCUUGAGUUUGGGAGAGGGAUGCGGAAUUCCAGGUGUAGCGGUGAAAUGCGUAGAUAUCGAGAGGAACACCUGCGGCGAAGGCGGGUUGCUGGGCCGACACUGACGCUGAUGCGCGAAAGCCAGGGGAGCGAACGGG
RNAcentral lists this ribosomal RNA (253 nucleotides) under uncultured bacterium. RNAcentral's name for it is "partial 16S ribosomal RNA". It matches the Rfam family "Bacterial small subunit ribosomal RNA", at positions 524 to 776 of the family's 1533-position model. The record is from RNAcentral.